This 303-nucleotide long non-coding RNA is filed under the name Chinchilla lanigera (long-tailed chinchilla). RNAcentral's name for it is "lncRNA (ENSCLAG00000028027.1)". The record is from RNAcentral. Lineage: Eukaryota; Metazoa; Chordata; Mammalia; Rodentia; Chinchillidae.
AUGUGUAAGUCACUGCAUCCCACAGAACGCCUGUGUGGAAAACCUAGCUCAAAGCGCCUCACAGAAGUAUGCUCCGUCAUUGCUCAGCUCCAGCAGGAGCCGGCUCCUGGGGCAUGGCGUCCAGUGGUGGAGGCGGCCAGCUCGGACCCCGCCGGCUCCCCAGCCCUCGCUCUUCUGUGUGCUGCUUUGUGUCCAAGCCAGACUCCGCGGGGUCAAAGCGUGGCUGUGAAGGCGCCAGCUCCUCGGCCAGAUCCUCAAAGUUCCUCCAGAACUUUGGACCAGAGUGCCUUAACGCCAUAUUAA